GAUUAAGCCAUGCAUGUGUAAGUAUAAAUAAGUGUACUUUGAAACUGCGAAUGGCUCAUUAUAUCAGUUAUAGUUUAUUAGAAAGAGUUUACUACUUGGAUAACCGUAGUAAUUCUAGGGCUAAUACAUGAAUGAAUCCUCGACUUUGAAGAGGUGUGUUUAUUAGUAUGAAAACCAUAUGCUUUAGCAUAAUAGUGAGUAAUAAUAACCUUUCAUAUCGUAUGUUAAUAUAACGAUAGUUCUUUCAAGUUUCUGCCCUAUCAGCUUUCGAUGGUAGUGUAUUGGACUACCAUG
This 294-nucleotide ribosomal RNA is filed under the name Blastocystis hominis. Its description in RNAcentral is "partial 18S ribosomal RNA". It matches the Rfam family "Eukaryotic small subunit ribosomal RNA", at positions 42 to 348 of the family's 1831-position model. The record is from RNAcentral. Lineage: Eukaryota; Bigyra; Opalinata; Blastocystidae.